UUAUAUACGCCCGCGUUGGUUGGUCUCGAAAUUAGGACUACCGCGAAUUUUCGAUUUACAAGAGCUCGAACUCGAACAGGAGUCAAAGACGGAGUCAUAGUUAUUGCGAUUGGUGAGAAAAAUUCCAGAAAAAAAAUAAAAUCGGGAAAACCGAAGUUCUUAUAGUCUCGGAAAUAAUUGCUAAAUUGACGGGUGAAAAUUCAAUACGAUUCUUAUGAAUUACACGUAACGGUUUGUCGUCGCUAGUGACGUUUCCGAAAGUUUGGCUGUGUAAAACGCGUACGCGCUAUACUCGGAUUUUAUUUUUUCUAUAUAAAACCAGAUAAAUAUUUAAAAAUCAAAAAAAAAAAUAAAAAAAAAUACCAAUAAAUAAUGCGAAAUUUUCCAGAGUUUUGAGUUUUGACAACUUUACCGCGUUUACAAAAAUAACUCUUAUCGUUUUUCUUUGGAGUGUAAUUUCUGGUGGAAAAAGUGUACACGUACACAAUAUCGAAACUUUAAUAUCUAAAAAAAAAAUCACGUAUACAUUACGAUAAGUCCAAUAUAAUUCAGCAGCGUUCAGAAUCCAAAAUCGUCGCUAUGGUAAAAUUGAUAAAAAAAAAAAAUCUGCCGUAACGAGUACUUUUAUAGUUUCUAGCGUUUCUAGAAGUCAAACUGAAAUAUCAAACUAACUUGAACAGUAACUACCAAAAAAAAAAAAAAAAGCGAAUUUCCCGGGUAAAUUUAAAUCCCGCCGUUAUUAUUCGUUUCCCGGUUUAUCCGUCGAAACUUCAUUUUUGGCGUCCUCCGGUUCACUAAUUUUGAAGAGGGGGGAGGGGGGUAAACGUAUUGUCAUCCGUACACACAUACAUCCGGCGAUCGAUUUCGUAUCGCGGUUAUCAACAGCCGUUUCAACGCCGAAUUCGUGUUAAAAAAAAAAAUAAUAAUAAUAAUAAAACGUUGAACGAACGGAUUUUUCGGAUUUUUGUUUUUAUCGUUCCGCGACC
Molecule: non-coding RNA, 986 nt
Organism: Cinara cedri
Lineage: Eukaryota; Metazoa; Arthropoda; Insecta; Hemiptera; Aphididae
Source: the annotation of a GenBank genome assembly